Molecule: ribosomal RNA, 825 nt
Filed under: Shigella sonnei
Lineage: Bacteria; Pseudomonadati; Pseudomonadota; Gammaproteobacteria; Enterobacterales; Enterobacteriaceae
Description: partial 23S ribosomal RNA
Rfam family: Bacterial large subunit ribosomal RNA
Source: RNAcentral
AGGGUGACAGCCCCGUACACAAAAAUGCACAUAUUGUGAGCUUGAUGAGUAGGGCGGGACACGUGGUAUCCUGUCUGAAUAUGGGGGGACCAUCCUCCAAGGCUAAAUACUCCUGACUGACCGAUAGUGAACCAGUACCGUGAGGGAAAGGCGAAAAGAACCCCGGCGAGGGGAGUGAAAAAGAACCUGAAACCGUGUACGUACAAGCAGUGGGAGCACGCUUAGGCGUGUGACUGCGUACCUUUUGUAUAAUGGGUCAGCGACUUAUAUUCUGUAGCAAGGUUAACCGAAUAGGGGAGCCGAAGGGAAACCGAGUCUUAACUGGGCGUUAAGUUGCAGGGUAUAGACCCGAAACCCGGUGAUCUAGCCAUGGGCAGGUUGAAGGUUGGGUAACACUAACUGGAGGACCGAACCGACUAAUGUUGAAAAAUUAGCGGAUGACUUGUGGCUGGGGGUGAAAGGCCAAUCAAACCGGGAGAUAGCUGGUUCUCCCCGAAAGCUAUUUAGGUAGCGCCUCGUGAAUUCAUCUCCGGGGGUAGAGCACUGUUUCGGCAAGGGGGUCAUCCCGACUUACCAACCCGAUGCAAACUGCGAAUACCGGAGAAUGUUAUCACGGGAGACACACGGCGGGUGCUAACGUCCGUCGUGAAGAGGGAAACAACCCAGACCGCCAGCUAAGGUCCCAAAGUCAUGGUUAAGUGGGAAACGAUGUGGGAAGGCCCAGACAGCCAGGAUGUUGGCUUAGAAGCAGCCAUCAUUUAAAGAAAGCGUAAUAGCUCACUGGUCGAGUCGGCCUGCGCGGAAGAUGUAACGGGGCUAAACCAU